GCACCUGUGGCGGAAUUGGCAGACGCGCCAGACUUAGGAUCUGGUCCCUCGCGGGGUGCAGGUUCGAUUCCUGUCAGGUGCACCA
RNAcentral lists this transfer RNA (85 nucleotides) under Clostridia bacterium. RNAcentral describes it as "tRNA-Leu". It matches the Rfam family "tRNA". From Rfam's summary of the family: Transfer RNA (tRNA) molecules are approximately 80 nucleotides in length. Their secondary structure includes four short double-helical elements and three loops (D, anti-codon, and T loops). Lineage: Bacteria; Bacillati; Bacillota; Clostridia. The record is from RNAcentral.